GGAGGGGUGGCUGAGCGGUUGAAAGCAGUCGCCUGCUAAGCGAUUGUCCUGGCUAAAACUGGGACCCUGGGUUCAAAUCCCAGCCCCUCCGCCA
Molecule: transfer RNA, 94 nt
Filed under: Candidatus Orphnella occulta
Lineage: Bacteria; Pseudomonadati; Candidatus Omnitrophota
Description: tRNA-Ser
Rfam family: tRNA
About the family: Transfer RNA (tRNA) molecules are approximately 80 nucleotides in length. Their secondary structure includes four short double-helical elements and three loops (D, anti-codon, and T loops).
Source: RNAcentral